RNAcentral lists this ribosomal RNA (542 nucleotides) under uncultured bacterium. RNAcentral's name for it is "bacterial SSU rRNA". It matches the Rfam family "Bacterial small subunit ribosomal RNA", at positions 355 to 912 of the family's 1533-position model. The record is from RNAcentral.
UGGGGAAUCUUGGACAAUGGGGGCAACCCUGAUCCAGCCAUGCCGCGUGAGUGAUGAAGGCCUUAGGGUCGUAAAGCUCUUUCGCCUGUGAAGAUAAUGACGGUAGCAGGUAAAGAAACCCCGGCUAACUCCGUGCCAGCAGCCGCGGUAAUACGGAGGGGGUUAGCGUUGUUCGGAAUUACUGGGCGUAAAGCGCACGUAGGCGGACCAGAAAGUUGGGGGUGAAAUCCCGGGGGCUCAACCCCGGAACUGCCUCCAAAACUAUUGGUCUAGAGUUCGAGAGAGGUGAGUGGGAAUUCCAAGUGUAGAGGUGAAAUUCGUAGAUAUUUGGAGGAACACCAGUGGCGAAGGCGGCUCACUGGCUCGAUACUGACGCUGAGGUGCGAAAGUGUGGGGAGCAAACAGGAUUAGAUACCCUGGUAGUCCACACCGUAAAACGAUGAAUGCCAGUCGUCGGGUAGCAUGCUAUUCGGUGACACACCUAACGGAUUAAGCAUUCCGCCUGGGGAGUACGGUCGCAAGAUUAAAACUCAAAGGAAUUG